AUAUACCCUAAACUCCAAAUUCUAAAUCCUAACUCUAUAUACUUGAACUUAUAACUUUAAGUCAUAUAAAUUAAGUCACAAAUCCUUUUAGCAAACCUUAACUUUAAACAUGUACAUGAAACCAUAUACCCUAAACUCUAAAUCAUAAAUUAUGUGUUAAUCUUUAAAAAGUUAUCAUACAAUUUUAAAUAUUAAACUAUUACACCAACAGAUAACCAUUGAUUACGAAUAUUUUCAUUAAAAAAAACAUAUAACCAUUGAAUACGUACACAAAAUUAAUCUAUCUCUAUCAAGCAAAUCAAUUAAUUAAACUACCAAACCAAAACUUAAACAAACUAAAUAACCAUGUUUUGGUUUUGGCUCCAAAUUAUUUGGAAUUGACAUUAAAUAUUUUAGGUUUCCCACGUCAAAAAAAAAAGGGUUUUCCACGUUUUGAGAAUAUACUCUAUCUCAUAACCCUAUUAAACUCUUAUUUGGUGUAGCCUCCAUCAACUAUUUUCUCUCUUUCUCUAGCAAAUCAACAAUCGUUUCAGAUUCUUCCUUUUUAUUCAGUUCAUCCUUUUGAUUAUAACUCCCUCUUAUGUUCUUCUCCUUGAACAUCUCUUUCUUUAUUUUUAUAUCUCUGCGAUUUUAAGGAUUCAGAUUUCAAAGCUCUUUUCACUCACUAAUGGUCGAAACUUUUACCCUACUGCCUCUCAACGACUCCAAGGAUCUGUAAUGCCAAUGGAAUUUACUAGUCGAUAUGCAGAUACAGCCACUACUUUGUAGUAGAUCUGACCACUCCAGUGUUAAAGGCUUUCAUCGGGAGUAUAUGAACAGCCAAUGAUGAUGGCGGAGGUGUAGACAAGGGCGGAAGGAGAAGGAGGUAGUGGUGUAGGAGACCAGGAGUAUAAGAAUCUCGCUUGGUUGCUGUGGUUUGAGUCCUUUGACGGAGGCAAAGGAGGUGGUGGUGUAGGAGACCAGUUUACCCUAAUUUGCUUUGCUUUGGUCUGUAUCAUAAUUGGUUUCUAGUACCAGCUUAAUUUUUGUAACCAGUUAACCCAUAUGUAGUUCGGGUUGUCAAUAAAAUAUAUUCUAAUUACAAA
Long non-coding RNA from Brassica napus (rape), 1085 nucleotides. RefSeq lists it as uncharacterized. The record is from RefSeq and is a predicted model, not a curated record. The transcript has 2 exons. NCBI's taxonomy places the organism in Eukaryota, Viridiplantae, Streptophyta, Magnoliopsida, Brassicales, Brassicaceae.